This is a non-coding RNA of Odocoileus virginianus texanus, 1567 nucleotides long. The record is from RefSeq and is a predicted model, not a curated record. Lineage: Eukaryota; Metazoa; Chordata; Mammalia; Artiodactyla; Cervidae.
ACGGUGCUUAGGCUCCUCUGGGCUCGCCUGCGCCACUCACGCGCCACACACUCCGCCAUCAUAAGCCGCCAUCAUGGUAAAGCUCGCAAAGGCCGGUAAAAAUCAAGGUGACUGCAAGAAAAUGGCUCCUCCCCCAAAGGAGGUAGAAGAAGAUAGUGAAGAUGAGGAAAUGUCAGAAGAUGAAGACGAUGAGAGCAGUGGAGAAGAGGUUGUUAUCCCUCAGAAAAAAGGCAAGAAGGCUACCACGACUCCAGCAAAGAAGAUGAUGGUUUCCCCAACAAAAAAGGUUGCAGUGCCACAUCGGCAAAGAAAGCAGUUGUCACCCCUGGCAAAAAGGCAGCAGCUAUGCCGGCCAAGAAGACAGUUACACCUGCCAAAGCAGUGGUAACACCUGGCAAAAAGGGAGCCACCCCAGGCAAAGCAUUGGUGGCAACCUCUGGUAGGAAGGGAGCAGCUGCCUCAGGCAAGGGAGCAAAGAACGGCAAGAAUGCCAAGAAGGAAGACAGUGAUGAAGAAGAGGAAGGUGACAGUGAAGAGGAAGACGAGGAAGAUGAAGAGGAGGAUGAACCAGCAGUGAGGAAGGCAGCUGCUGCUUUUGGUGCUGCUCCUGCCACAGAUGAUGAGGAUGACGAGGAUGAGGAUGAUGAUGACGAUGAUGAGGAGGACGAAGAUGACUCUGAAGAAGAACCUAUGGAGAUUGUGCCAGCCAAAGGAAAGAAAGCUCCAGUAAAAGCUGUUCCUGUGAAGGCCAAGAGAGCUGCUGAAGAUGAAGAUGAAGAGGAUGAUGAUGAAGAGGAUGACGACGAUGAAGAGGAGGACGACAAUGAGGAGGAGGAGGAAGAAGAGCCUGUCAAAGAAGCACCUGGAAAACGAAAGAAGGAAAUGGCCAAACAAAAAUUUGUAGACUUCAAUAGUGAGGAAGAUGCCAAAGCUGCCAAGGAGGCCAUGGAAGAUGGUGAAAUCGAUGGAAACAAAGUCACUUUAGACUGGGCCAAACCUAAGGGUGAAGGUGGCUUUGGAGGCCGAGGUGGUGGCCGAGGUGGCCGAGGUGGAUUUGGUGGCAGAGGCCGAGGAGGCUUUGGAGGGCGAGGAGGCUUCCGAGGAGGCGGCGGAGGAGGAGGAGACCACAAGCCACAAGGAAAGAAGACGAAGUUUGAAUAGUUUCUUCUAUCCCUGUCUCUCCCUCUUCCAUUUGAAAGAAAGGACUCUGGGGUUUUUACUCUGUUACCUGAUCAAUGACAGAGCCUUCUGAGGACAUUCCAAGACAGUAUACAGCCCUGUGGUCUACUUGGAAAUCCGUAUAGAUAACAUUUCAAGGGAGAUAACCCUGUUGGUGUUGACUGGAUAUUCGUAUAAACUUUUUAAAGAGAUGAGUGAUAGAGCUAACCCUUAUCUGUAAGUUUUGAAUUUAUAUUGUUUCUUCCCAUGUACAAAACCGUUUUUUUCCUACGGAGUUUUUUUUGUUUUGUUUUGUUUUUUUGCGUUGGGGGGUGUAAAGGAAAGCAGAAUGUUUUAUCAUGAUUUUUGCUUCAGCAAUUUUGGGACAAAUUAAAAGUCCUAGAACUCU